UACGGAGGAUCCAAGCGUUAUCCGGAUUUAUUGGGUUUAAAGGGUGCGUAGGCGGCCUGUUAAGUCAGAGGUGAAAACUUGCAGCUCAACUGUAAGCGUGCCUUUGAUACUGAUGGGCUUGAAUGAACUAGAGGUAGGCGGAAUGUGACAAGUAGCGGUGAAAUGCAUAGAUAUGUCCCAGAACACCAAUUGCGAAGGCAGCUUACUAUGGUUUAAUUGACGCUGAGGCACGAAAGCGUGGGGAUCAAACAGG
RNAcentral lists this ribosomal RNA (253 nucleotides) under uncultured prokaryote. RNAcentral's name for it is "partial 16S ribosomal RNA". It matches the Rfam family "Bacterial small subunit ribosomal RNA", at positions 524 to 776 of the family's 1533-position model. The record is from RNAcentral.